This 799-nucleotide ribosomal RNA is filed under the name uncultured Glomeromycotina. RNAcentral's name for it is "SSU rRNA". It matches the Rfam family "Eukaryotic small subunit ribosomal RNA", at positions 314 to 1114 of the family's 1831-position model. The record is from RNAcentral. Lineage: Eukaryota; Fungi; Glomeromycota.
AUCAACUUUCGAUGGUAGGAUAGAGGCCUACCAUGGUGGUAACGGGUAACGGGGUGUUAGGGCACGACACCGGAGAGGGAGCCUGAGAAACGGCUACCACAUCCAAGGAUGGCAGCAGGCGCGCAAAUUACCCAAUCCCGACACGGGGAGGUAGUGACAAUAAAUAACAAUACGGGGUUCUUUAGGAUCUCGUAAUUGGAAUGAGUACAAUUUAAAUCUCUUAACGAGGAACAAUUGGAGGGCAAGUCUGGUGCCAGCAGCCGCGGUAAUUCCAGCUCCAAUAGCGUAUAUUAAAGUUGUUGCAGUUAAAAAGCUCGUAGUUGAAUUUCGGGGUUAGUAGGUUGGUCAUGCCUCUGGUAUGUACUGGUCUCACUGAUUCCUCCUUCCUGAUGAACCUUAAUGCCAUUAAUUUGGUGUUUUGGGGAAUUUGGACUGUUACUUUGAAAAAAUUAGAGUGUUUAAAGCAAGCUAACGCUUGAAUACAUUAGCAUGGAAUAAUGAAAUAGGACGUUCGAUCCUAUUUUGUUGGUUUCUAGGAUUGACGUAAUGAUUAAUAGGGAUAGUUGGGGGCAUUAGUAUUCAAUUGUCAGAGGUGAAAUUCUUGGAUUUAUUGAAGACUAACUACUGCGAAAGCAUUUGCCAAGGAUGUUUUCAUUAAUCAAGAACGAAAGUUAGGGGAUCGAAGACGAUCAGAUACCGUCGUAGUCUUAACCAUAAACUAUGCCGACUAGGGAUCGGAUGAUGUUAAUUUUUUAAUGACUCAUUCGGCGCCUUACGGGAAACCAAAGUGUUUGGGUUC